UGGGGAAUAUUGGACAAUGGGGGCAACCCUGAUCCAGCCAUGCCGCGUGAGUGAUGAAGGCCUUAGGGUUGUAAAGCUCUUUCACCCGGGACGAUAAUGACGGUACCGGGAGAAGAAGCCCCGGCUAACUUCGUGCCAGCAGCCGCGGUAAUACGAAGGGGGCUAGCGUUGUUCGGAAUCACUGGGCGUAAAGCGCACGUAGGCGGACCGUUAAGUCGGAGGUGAAAUCCUGGGGCUCAACCCCAGAACUGCCUUCGAUACUGGCGGUCUCGAGUCCGGAAGAGGUGAGUGGAACUGCCAGUGUAGAGGUGAAAUUCGUAGAUAUUGGCAAGAACACCAGUGGCGAAGGCGGCUCACUGGUCCGGUACUGACGCUGAGGUGCGAACGCGUGGGGGAGCAAAACAGGAUUAGAUACCCUGGUAGUCCACGCCGUAAACGAUGAAUGCCAGCCGUCGGGCAGCAUGCUGUUCGGUGGCGCAGCUAACGCUUUAAGCAUUCCGCCUGGGGAGUACGGUCGCAAGAUUAAAACUCAAAUGAAUUGACGGGGUCAUAGCUGUUCCU
RNAcentral lists this ribosomal RNA (561 nucleotides) under uncultured bacterium. RNAcentral describes it as "partial 16S ribosomal RNA". It matches the Rfam family "Bacterial small subunit ribosomal RNA", at positions 355 to 937 of the family's 1533-position model. The record is from RNAcentral.